This 574-nucleotide ribosomal RNA is filed under the name uncultured Cortinarius. RNAcentral describes it as "eukaryotic LSU rRNA". The stretch from base 228 to 381 matches the Rfam family "5.8S ribosomal RNA". The record is from RNAcentral. Lineage: Eukaryota; Fungi; Basidiomycota; Agaricomycetes; Agaricales; Cortinariaceae.
UGAUGAGUGUGCUGUUCCUUAGGAUCAUGUGCACACUUGUCGUCUUUAUAUUUCCACCUGUGCAUCUUUUGUAGAUCCUGAGAUAUAUCUCUGAAUGCUAGUUGUUCAGGUUUGAGGAUUGACUUUCUGUCUCUUCCUUACAUUUCUCAGGUCUAUGUUUUUUCAUAUACCCUAAGUUAUGUUAUCGAAUGUAAUUCCAAAUGGGUCUCUGCGCCUAUAAAUUAUACAACUUUCAGCAACGGAUCUCUUGGCUCUCGCAUCGAUGAAGAACGCAGCGAAAUGCGAUAAGUAAUGUGAAUUGCAGAAUUCAGUGAAUCAUCGAAUCUUUGAACGCACCUUGCGCUCCUUGGUAUUCCGAGGAGCAUGCCUGUUUGAGUGUCAUUAAUAUAUCAACCUCUGCAGCUUUUUGUUUGUUGAGUGUUGGAUGUGGGGGGUUUUCUUCUGUUGGCCUUUUUAAAGGUCAAACUCCCCUAAAAUGUAUUAGCAGAAUCAGCUCGUUCAUUGGUGUGAUAAAUAUCUACACUAUAAUGGACAUUAAGCAGUUCAGCUUCUAAUAGUCCAUUGACUUGGACAA